Molecule: long non-coding RNA, 2818 nt
Organism: Mesocricetus auratus (golden hamster)
Lineage: Eukaryota; Metazoa; Chordata; Mammalia; Rodentia; Cricetidae
Exons: 2
Source: RefSeq, a predicted model, not a curated record
UGGUGUGUGUGUGUGUGUGUGUGUGUGUGUGUACCACUCUUCUGUAUGUUUUGGGCUGGAAGGAGGUUUGGCGCGGCACUGCAGGCCCACAGCUUCCGCGAGCGGGCUGCAUCUGGGAGGGCCUUGCAUGUUAACCCUUGGCCCCAGCCCAUGCGUUCGGGGGAGCCCGCCCGAGGCUUUGGUCCAAAGUCCUGCCAGAUAAGAGACACAGGAGUGAACCUAGAAUUCCUCGUCCAUGGUGCAAACCCAGAUGAAGGACGAGAGCCCACGGCGCUGAGCGUGCCCGUGGCGCCAGGCCUUCCCGGCUUCCAUCACUUCAUGUCCCUUCAUGCAGCUCGGCCAGCAUUUGUUGGGAACUGUACCUGAUGCUGUGAGGAGGGCAGUCAGGCCAAGCGAACGGAAACGCUGACUUCAUGGUGGAGGUAACCGACCACACAUAAGACAACACAUUUGAAACUGCAGUGAUGCCCCUUCGUAAAUGUUAGCACUUGCCUGACAGAAAAAAAAUCGGCAGGAAUACCCAUGCUCCUCAUGGGGAGAGACCUGCAGGGGACCCAGGAGCCCUGGAAGGGUGACAGCAAGGACCCUUUUGUCAGGCAAGACCAUAAUGAGUAUCAGAGUCUGGAUCAGAAAGCACGGUGGCUUCUGAGGUCCUGGGGGUGGGCGAGCAGCUAGUUCGCAAGUGCCCUUAGUGACCUGCGUGCCCGCCAGUGGCUCCAGCUGCCAGCCGUGCAGGAAACGGUACCAGCUUCAUCCAAUAUGCCAAGAUUAUCCAGGUCUGGCUGGUAAAACACCCGAGCCAAGAUGUGCAGAUGUGCCCUCGGGCCAGAUUUGCUUCACCCGGAGGGGCCAGUGCUCUCUUCCAGUGGAUGGUAGGGCACUCUGGGCCACUGAAGGGCUGUCCAUACAAGGACACUGCAGGGUGUCAAUCAAGAGGCUUUCUUCCUCGUCGGAGCAGGGCUAGCUAGCUCCCAUGAAAGACAAAAGCCAAAGCUUGCCCCUUCCACCUCCGUGGCUGUCCCUGGGGAGUCAGACAGGCUGAAGGGAUUUUAUCAACUGAGGGCGUUGUUUCUCAAGCUCAUGCCACCGAACACCCUCCUCUCCUCAAUGCGCCCCUCUCCCCUUUGAGCAGCUGGCAAUACAAACAUUUGCUUAGCUUCCCGUUCAUUAAAAAUUAACGAAUCUUAUGUCAUAUCUUACCCCUUUACAACACCUUCAAGUGACGAAUUUGCAGGCCUGACAACCCCGGGAGAUGGGUGACCCACCAAGUUUUGUCACUUUGGCUGUACUCACACCGCUCAGCAGAUGGCACAGUCAGGCAUUAACUCCCGUGCGUGUAUUUUGUCACCCCUUUCCUCCACUUACACAAUGAGGAGGGUUGCUGUCCGCCUUGUACGCCAUCAUACACCCAGCACCUAGAAAGAGGCCCGGCCUGUAGCAGGCGGCCAGUAACUACGAGUGCAAUGGGCUGACUAUUGAGACGUAUUUUACAGAUGAGCCCUGAGACUCAGCCAGGUUGAUCCACCCAGGUGUUAAAGGGUUGAGACGCAAAGGGACACCCCGAGUUUCCUCGGGGACUCCCGCUGGGAUACUGCCCACCUUUGGGUGGCAUAAAUAGGCAAACACACCUGGCGAGGCUAGCCUAACAGUGCACGCUUGCUAACUCGGGGCUCGUUUUCAGUUGAGGGCACUAAAACGAUAGCACGAGAAGAGGGGGGGCACUGGCCAGAGUCAAGAGGGAAGCCGAGGGACGCAAGCCCGGGGCCACAGAGAUGGGCUGGUGCGCGACUGUCAGGUGCAGAAGGACAGACUGUGGUGCCUGUUAGCACACGCUGGCGCACGCUGGCCUCCUGCGAUCUCUCGUCUCACGUCUACCUGUGGCUCCGCACAGCUCUUCCCACUCCGCCCCCACCCUGAGCUUCUCCAGCCGAGUGGCUUCCCUUCUCCCAGCUUCGCCUUCCCACAUAACCCAGCCACUUCAGGUAACACUCUCUCUUUCGGUUCCCCUCUCAGUCUCUUCUCUCUGGGUCCUCUCCUCUCCUCCUCUCACCCCAUCGCCAUCGCCCUUCCCAAGGCCCGCUCCAGCCUGCUGGCCAUGUUCGAUCCACUACUUUCUCUCUCUGUUCAGGACUUUUCCAGAUAUCUCUGGCUGUAGUCUCCCUUGUAUCUACAAACCAAACCAAACCAAACCAAACCAAAACAAAACAAAACAAAACCCUUCCCCUCGGCCAUACCUUGGAGCAGUCAGACCUCCGGUUCAUACAUCUGGUGUCCAAACGCUCAGUUUAUACAGUAAUGCCCUGAGUGCAGGUGUAACAUGAAAAAUAAGAACCUAGAGACAGAUACUGGGGUUCAAGCUUCAAGCUGAAGAUCACAAAAGCAAAGCAGCCGGCCACCAGCUCUUACCUCUACCCCAGGCUGAAAUGGCUGAUCCUGUCUCUAUGAGCUCUCACCAAGCCUCUGACUGCUGCCUCUCCUUACCGUGGCUGGAGAAUCAAUUCUUCCUGUCCUCAAUGUGGCUGGAGAAUGGAUGCCAGCUCUGAGACCCUGUUCCUGUCUUAAAUAUCUUUCGUGAGUCCUGGGAUUAAAGGCGUGUGAUCCUGAAUUGCUGAGAUCACCUGUGUGUGAGCUGCUUCUCUUUAGGACUGGAUCAACUUCAUGUAGCUCAGUGUGGCCUUGAACUAACAGAGAUCCGUCUACCUCUUAAUUCUGAGUCCUGGGAUUAAAGGUGUGUGCCUGCCUUCUAUGGCUUUUGGCUGACUUUGCUUCCUGAAUCCUCAGGAAAACUUUAAUAAAUCAUAAAUGAUAUAUCAUCACA